This is a long non-coding RNA of Acanthochromis polyacanthus (spiny chromis), 2879 nucleotides long. RefSeq lists it as uncharacterized. The transcript is spliced from 3 exons. Lineage: Eukaryota; Metazoa; Chordata; Actinopteri; Pomacentridae. The record is from RefSeq and is a predicted model, not a curated record.
CCUCUGUGACCUUCUAAAAUGGCGUCAGCUUGUGUUUUUCCAGCAGCCCGGUGCAGGACGGAGCCGAUAAACUGGAUGAUUUGUUCUAUUUCAACCAUCAAACACCAAACCUGUGAGCUUCUCAGCUCGUCUCGUGUCUCCGCCCCUCUUCCUGCUUCCUUCAUGCAUUAAACGUGUCUAAGCUCGACCUCGUGACCUUGUGUGUUGCAGCUCGUCCUCUGUUUGUGGCUGAAUAAUUCAUUUCUGGCUGCUGUUUGCUCCAUCUGCAUGCUGCUCUGCUUCCCUCUCAGCUCUCAGGCGGAUCUCCACGGCGACCGGCUGUGAUUGACAGGUCUGCCUCUGCAUCACUGACGAUGCUCCAGAACCAGGGAGGAAAUAAAACAAACCUGCACCAACCUGGAGGUCUGAACGUCAUACAAACACAUUGAAGGAGGAUUCUGACAGUUUAUGGACACGUUUCAUCAUCAAAUAUUAGCUCAGUUCAGGAUCCGUAGAAGUACACGUUUGAGGUCAUACGUUACAUAUUAGGAUUUUUACAAACAACUCAUAUGAAGAGGUUAAAAAAUGCAGCAUUAAGUGAAAUCACCCAACAGUAUACACAUGUAGAGCUGAAACACAAAACUAAUUAGCAGCUAUUGAUGUAAAAAGUUUCUGCUUUUCCUUUAAAUUUAAGAAUAAUACAACCAUAAUAAUUCAUAAUUUCAUUUAGCCGCCACAGCUGAAGAUUACUGAUGGAAAACUGAAGAAAAAAAACUCCAACUUCCGUGAUUCCGGAGCAGCGCCUGGAGGUGGAGGACAAAGACGAUGGCUGGAACAAACCGACAGUAAAAACAAAACGACAGUUAAGAGAGCAAACCAAAAACUAGACCCAAUAUUAGAGAUUCAGUCAUAGUUUCUGUAAAUGGACACAAAAAGACAGAAACCAAUUAGAAAGCGACGCAAAAUGAACACAACUAAAUGCAAAACGGCCGCAAAGAUGCACAAAACGACUAGAAAGUGAUUAAAACGGACUAAAAUUGACUCAAAAUGAUGACAAAACAAGAACAAAACAACAGAAUGAGACACAAAAUGACUGAAAACAAACAUCAAGAAACACAAAAAGAGAUGAAAAAUAGAUGAAAAAUGAACAAAACCAGACGUUAAUUCACUGCGAACAGAAAUUAAAUAACUUCCUAGACACACAAAAUGACUGUCAGGUGCAAAAUGAGUGCAAAGACACAGAAAAUCAUGCAGAAAGAAAUUAAAAAUGACUAAAAGAAACACAAAAUGCGCAUAAAUAGAUGCCGAUUUCAUGUACAGAGAGACAAAAACCACAUAUUCAACACACAAAGAUCUGACAAGAUGCAAAAUGAACACAAACAAGUGCCGAACGGCCUCAAAGACACAAAAAAUGACCAGAAAAAGACAAAAAGUGACAAAAAUGACACAAAAAAUGACCAGAAAAAAUUCAAAAAGUGACAAAAAUGACACAAAGAAUGACCAGAAAAAGACAAAAAGUAACAAAAAUGACACAAAGAAUGACCAGAAAAAGACAAAAAUGACACAAAAAAUGACCAGAAAAAGUUGAAAAGUGCCAAAAAUGGACUUUUUCUUUUAUUUUUAUCCACAAAUCAUUAAAUUUACUGUAAAUUCCAGCAUUAUGUAAGAAUACAUUGAUUUAAUGUUCAGAAUUUCAUUUUAUUGGCUGAUUUUACUGUUUCUACUAAACCAAAAGGUUUAUUCCUGGAUCAAUCAGUGACGAACAGAUGGGGGCAAAGCUGCACCACAUGAUUAACAGAUUAUUGAACAAAUAGUGAAGGUAACGCUGAGUUUCACACCUAUAUUUGGUGUUAAAAUCUAAAAUGAAGCGACUGUGAGCAUCAGUUAGGAAUGAAUGAAUCUGCUGCCGGCGGUCUGGGCUGGGUGGAGCUACCUGGAGGAGAACCUGAGGUGGAUCCAGGUGGAAGCUGACGAGGCGGUACUGACUUCAGGCCCAGCAGGCGUCGCUCAGACAGCCUAUUUACAGCAAAAUAUCAGUUAUCUGAGGGUGAUUAUUCCUCUGGAUGUUGGAGCUUUUACUGCUGGGCUGCAGGAAUGGGGGUCGGCGUGUUGUCACCGAGGGAUUUCUGUCACAUUAAUCCUGGAUGUUUACAUUCAGGCUGCAGCUGUAAACAGUUGUUCCAUUAAACGGCAGCCUUUAACCCGGCUUCAGCUCCUGCUUUUGGUUUCACAGGUUUAACAUCUAGCCUCAGUGGUUCCAGUUAAAGUCACUGAUUAACUGGAAACUUGUGGAACAAACGACAUUUUACCAGCUAAUGAGAAUGUUUUACAGAAUUCCACACAUGAAAUGGAUUCCCUGAUGAGAUGAUGUUAUAUUAGCUAUAAUGACGACACAUUAACAGACCUGCAGAGCUUCAAUAAUAUGGAGUUAUAGGUCAGUGGAACAAAAUAAAAUCAAUCAAACCUCCUCACAACCAGCUGGUUCUUCAUCUCCAGUAACUUUAUUAAUGAUCAGAGUUCUACCUUCAGACUGGGAAUGUCUCCAGAGUUCCAGGUCCUUCAAGUCCAUAUAGUCCCAUGUUGAAGGUUCUAGAGUAGACCUACCGACAGCUAGACAGCUGUCUUUAGGUCCACUCUAGAACUUUCUACAGCUGUCUUUAGGUAUACUAUAGAACUUUCUACAGCUGUCUUUAGGUCUACUAUGGAACUUUCUACAGCUGUCUUUAGGUCUACUAUAGAACUUUCUUCAGCUGUCUUUAGGUCUACUAUGGAACUUUCUACAGCUGUCUUUAGGUCUACUUCAGAACUUUCUACAGCUGUCUUUAGGUCUACUAUAGAACUUUCUUCAGCUGUCUUUAGGUCUACUAUGGAACUUUCUACAGCUGUCUUUAGGUCUACUA